Long non-coding RNA from Triticum aestivum (bread wheat), 546 nucleotides. RefSeq lists it as uncharacterized. Lineage: Eukaryota; Viridiplantae; Streptophyta; Magnoliopsida; Poales; Poaceae. The record is from RefSeq and is a predicted model, not a curated record. The transcript has 2 exons.
CAUCAAUUUUUCUCCUGCAAUUGUACGGUCGUUUCUGCUUUAGUUUAGAAAAGCAUAAAACUGAGUUAUUUUUGCCUUUGGCAGACAGUCAUCCUACUUCGUAGUAAUCUUGUGCCUUUCGUAUUUGCAUACUAAUCACGAGCCUUUCCUUCAUAAUGCUAAAUUUUGAAUUGCUUUGGCUCUAUAAUUUGUUUGAACUGAUCAUUUAAGAAUUUCAGAUAAGCGCAUCCAGAUCUUUUGACCCUUCCACGAAAAGGUGUAACAUGAAAAAGGACUCACGGGUGGACAUCUGCUAUAAAUUACCUAGGCCUGGUCAUCUGCGUGAGUUGCAUCUGUCAUUUUUCUUCCCAGGUAGAACAUUAGUUUUGAUUAAAAACAAGAUAGAACAUUAGUGUUCUCCACAGUUUGAUGGGAACACUUUGACUUUCUGUAACCCCUAGAUUUGGUAUUUCCUGAUGAUUGCUUGCGGUUCUUCUUACUUUCUGGUAUAAAUAGAGAAAAAUGAGGAUAUUGUAAUUAUUUUAGAAUGUUCAAGAUUUAGGUGUC